This 463-nucleotide ribosomal RNA is filed under the name uncultured bacterium. RNAcentral's name for it is "SSU rRNA". It matches the Rfam family "Bacterial small subunit ribosomal RNA", at positions 26 to 523 of the family's 1533-position model. The record is from RNAcentral.
AGAAUCAACGCUGGCGGCGUGCCUAACACAUGCAAGUCGCACGAGAAAGGGUAGCAAUACCUGAGUACAGUGGCGCACGGGUGAGUAACACGUGAAUUAUCUACCUCCGAGUGGGGAAUAACUGAGAGAAAUCUUAGCUAAUACCGCAUAACACUUACGAGUCAAAGCAGCAAUGCGCUUGGAGAGGAGUUCGCGGCAGAUUAGUUAGUUGGCGGGGUAAUGGCCACCAAGACGAUGAUCUGUAUCCGGCCUGAGAGGGCGCACGGACACACUGGAACUGAAACACGGUCCAGACUCCUACGGGAGGCAGCAGUGGGGAAUUUUGCGCAAUGGGGGAAACCCUGACGCAGCAACGCCGCGUGGAGGAUGAAAUAUCUUGGUAUGUAAACUCCUUUCGAUGGGGAAGAUUAUGACGGUACCCAUAGAAGAAGCCCGGCUAACUUCGUGCCAGCAGCCGCGGUAA